This 253-nucleotide ribosomal RNA is filed under the name uncultured bacterium. RNAcentral's name for it is "partial 16S ribosomal RNA". It matches the Rfam family "Bacterial small subunit ribosomal RNA", at positions 524 to 776 of the family's 1533-position model. The record is from RNAcentral.
AACGUAGGAGGCGAGCGUUAUCCGGAGUGACUGGGCGUAAAGCGCGUGUAGGCGGUCAGGCAAGCUGGGUGUGAAAGCGCCAGGCUCAACCUGGCGAGGCCAUCGAGGACUGCGUGGCUGGAGGCCGGUAGAGGAGUGCGGAAUUCCGGGUGUAGCGGUGAAAUGUGUAGAGAUCCGGAGGAACACCAGUGGUGAAGACGGCGCUCUGGGCCGGACCUGACGCUGAGACGCGAAAGCGUGGGGAGCGAACGGG